AAGAAAUGACGGGCUGCUAUACAUGCAAGUCGUACGCUUCUUUUUCCACCGGAGCUUGCUCCACCGGAAAAAGAGGAGUGGCGAACGGGUGAGUAACACGUGGGUAACCUGCCCAUCAGAAGGGGAUAACACUUGGAAACAGGUGCUAAUACCGUAUAACAAUCGAAACCGCAUGGUUUUGAUUUGAAAGGCGCUUUCGGGUGUCGCUGAUGGAUGGACCCGCGGUGCAUUAGCUAGUUGGUGAGGUAACGGCUCACCAAGGCCACGAUGCAUAGCCGACCUGAGAGGGUGAUCGGCCACAUUGGGACUGAGACACGGCCCAAACUCCUACGGGAGGCAGCAGUAGGGAAUCUUCGGCAAUGGACGAAAGUCUGACCGAGCAACGCCGCGUGAGUGAAGAAGGUUUUCGGAUCGUAAAACUCUGUUGUUAGAGAAGAACAAGGAUGAGAGUAACUGUUCAUCCCUUGACGGUAUCUAACCAGAAAGCCACGGCUAACUACGUGCCAGCAGCCGCGGUAAUACGUAGGUGGCAAGCGUUGUCCGGAUUUAUUGGGCGUAAAGCGAGCGCAGGCGGUUUCUUAAGUCUGAUGUGAAAGCCCCCGGCUCAACCGGGGAGGGUCAUUGGAAACUGGGAGACUUGAGUGCAGAAGAGGAGAGUGGAAUUCCAUGUGUAGCGGUGAAAUGCGUAGAUAUAUGGAGGAACACCAGUGGCGAAGGCGGCUCUCUGGUCUGUAACUGACGCUGAGGCUCGAAAGCGUGGGGAGCAAACAGGAUUAGAUACCCUGGUAGUCCACGCCGUAAACGAUGAGUGCUAAGUGUUGGAGGGUUUCCGCCCUUCAGUGCUGCAGCUAACGCAUUAAGCACUCCGCCUGGGGAGUACGACCGCAAGGUUGAAACUCAAGGAAUUGACGGGGGCCCGCACAAGCGGUGGAGCAUGUGGUUUAAUUCGAAGCACGCGAGAACCUUACCAGGUCUUGACAUCCUUUGACCACUCUAGAGAUAGAGCUUCCCCUUCGGGGCCAAGUGGACAGUGGUGCAUGGUGUCGUCAGCUCGUGUCGUGAGAUGAUAGGAUAGUACCCGCCACGAGCGCAGCCCUUAUUGUUAGUGCCAUCCAUCCAAUGGGCCUCUACCAGACCUGACGUGACGAACCGGAGAAGAGGGAUGACCUCAUCAUCAUGGCCUCAUGACCUGCUACCCGGUCUCGAUUGCAGUACCAGUGUCAAAGUUCCUAGGCUAGCCUAA
RNAcentral lists this ribosomal RNA (1243 nucleotides) under Enterococcus faecium. RNAcentral's name for it is "bacterial SSU rRNA". It matches the Rfam family "Bacterial small subunit ribosomal RNA", at positions 31 to 1272 of the family's 1533-position model. The record is from RNAcentral. Lineage: Bacteria; Bacillati; Bacillota; Bacilli; Lactobacillales; Enterococcaceae.